This 1397-nucleotide ribosomal RNA is filed under the name uncultured bacterium. Its description in RNAcentral is "bacterial SSU rRNA". It matches the Rfam family "Bacterial small subunit ribosomal RNA". The record is from RNAcentral.
AGAGUUUGAUCCUGGCUCAGAACGAACGCUGGCGGCGCGUCUUAAGCAUGCAAGUCGGGCGGGAUCCAUGCGCUUGCGCAUGGUGAGAGCGGCGGACUGGCGAGUAACACGUGGGCGACGCGCCCUCCGGACGGGAAUAGCCUGUAGAAAUACAGGGUAAUGCCGGAUGCGAACGCGCGCGCUGGAGGCGCGCGUGGAAAGCCCCCACGGGGGCGCCGGAGGAGCGGCCCGCGGCCCAUCAGCUUGUAGGCGGUGCAAGGGACCACCUAGGCUACGACGGGUACUCGGCCUCAGAGGGCGGACGGGCGCAUUGGGACUGAGAUACGGCCCAGACUCCUACGGGAGGCAGCAGCUAAGAAUAUUCCGCAAUGGGGGGAACCCUGACGGAGCGACGCCGCGUGGGCGAGGAAGGCCGGAAGGUUGUAAAGCCCUUUUGCGCGCGAGGAAUAAGGGGAGGAGGGAAUGCCUUCCCGGUGACUGUAGCGCGCGAAUAAGCGCCGGCUAAUUACGUGCCAGCAGCCGCGGUAACACGUAAGGCGCGAGCGUUGUUCGGAAUCAUUGGGCGUAAAGGGCGUGUAGGCGGCCCUGCAAGCCUGGCGUGAAAUCCCGGGGCUCAACCCCGGAACCGCGCUGGGAACUGCUGGGCUGGAGCCGCUGUGGCGCAGCCGGAAUUCCAGGUGUAGGGGUGAAAUCUGUAGAUAUCUGGAAGAACACCGAUGGCGAAGGCAGGCUGCGAGCGGACGGCUGACGCUGAGGCGCGAAGGCGCGGGGAGCGAACAGGAUUAGAUACCCUGGUAGUCCGCGCAGUAAACGGUGCACACUGGGUGUCCGGGCAUGAGCCCGGGUGCCGAAGCGAACGCGUUAAGUGUGCCGCCUGGGGAGUAUGCCCGCAAGGGUGAAACUCAAAGGAAUUGACGGGGGCCCGCACAAGCAGUGGAUUAUGUGGUUUAAUUCGACGCAACGCGAAGAACCUUACCAGGGCUUGACAUCCAACUAACGAAGUAGAGAUACAUCAGGUGCCCUUCGGGGAAGGUUGAGACAGGUGGUGCAUGGUUGUCGUCAGCUCGUGUCGUGAGAUGUUGGGUUAAGUCCCGCAACGAGCGCAACCCCUAUUGUUAGUUGCUACGAAAGAGCACUCUAGCGAGACUGCCGUUGACAAAACGGAGGAAGGCGGGGACGACGUCAAAUCAUCAUGCCCCUUAUGUCCUGGGCUACACGCGUAAUACAAUGGUGGCGAACAGAGGGAAGCAAAGCCGCGAGGCAGAGCAAAACCCUAAAAGCCAUCUCAGUUCGGAUUGCAGGCUGCAACUCGCCUGCAUGAAGCUGGAAUUGCUAGUAAUCGCGGAUCAGAAAGCCGCGGUGAAUACGUUCCCGGGCCUUGCACACACCGCCCGUCA